GACGAACGCUGGCGGCGUGCUUAACACAUGCAAGUCGAACGGAAAGGCCCUGCUUGCAGGGUACUCGAGUGGCGAACGAGUGAGUAACACGUGGGUGAUCUGCCCUGCACUUCGGGAUAAGCCUGGGAAACUGGGUCUAAUACCGGAUAGGAGCCAUUUUUAGUGUGAUGGUUGGAAAGUUUUUUCGGUGUAGGAUGAGCUCGCGGCCUAUCAGCUUGUUGGUGGGGUAAUGGCCUACCAAGGCGGCGACGGGUAGCCGGCCUGAGAGGGUGGACGGCCACAUUGGGACUGAGAUACGGCCCAGACUCCUACGGGAGGCAGCAGUGGGGAAUAUUGCACAAUGGGCGCAAGCCGGAUGCAGCGACGCCGCGUGGGGGAUGACGGCCUUCGGGUUGGAAACUCCUUUCGCUAGGGACGAAGCUUUUUGUGACGGUACCUAGAGAAGAAGCACCGGCUAACUACGUG
This 465-nucleotide ribosomal RNA is filed under the name uncultured bacterium. RNAcentral's name for it is "partial 16S ribosomal RNA". It matches the Rfam family "Bacterial small subunit ribosomal RNA", at positions 28 to 507 of the family's 1533-position model. The record is from RNAcentral.